AAAUUGAAGAGUUUGAUCAUGGCUCAGAUUGAACGCUGGCGGCAGGCCUAACACAUGCAAGUCGAACGGUAACAGGAAGCAGCUUGCUGCUUUGCUGACGAGUGGCGGACGGGUGAGUAAUGUCUGGGAAACUGCCUGAUGGAGGGGGAUAACUACUGGAAACGGUGGCUAAUACCGCAUAACGUCGCAAGACCAAAGAGGGGGACCUUCGGGCCUCUUGCCAUCAGAUGUGCCCAGAUGGGAUUAGCUUGUUGGUGAGGUAACGGCUCACCAAGGCGACGAUCCCUAGCUGGUCUGAGAGGAUGACCAGCCACACUGGAACUGAGACACGGUCCAGACUCCUACGGGAGGCAGCAGUGGGGAAUAUUGCACAAUGGGCGCAAGCCUGAUGCAGCCAUGCCGCGUGUAUGAAGAAGGCCUUCGGGUUGUAAAGUACUUUCAGCGGGGAGGAAGGUGUUGCGGUUAAUAACCGCAGCAAUUGACGUUACCCGCAGAAGAAGCACCGGCUAACUCCGUGCCAGCAGCCGCGGUAAUACGGAGGGUGCAAGCGUUAAUCGGAAUUACUGGGCGUAAAGCGCACGCAGGCGGUCUGUCAAGUCGGAUGUGAAAUCCCCGGGCUCAACCUGGGAACUGCAUUCGAAACUGGCAGGCUUGAGUCUUGUAGAGGGGGGUAGAAUUCCAGGUGUAGCGGUGAAAUGCGUAGAGAUCUGGAGGAAUACCGGUGGCGAAGGCGGCCCCCUGGACAAAGACUGACGCUCAGGUGCGAAAGCGUGGGGAGCAAACAGGAUUAGAUACCUUGGUAGUCCACGCCGUAAACGAUGUCUACUUGGAGGUUGUGCCCUUGAGGCGUGGCUUCCGGAGCUAACGCGUUAAGUAGACCGCCUGGGGAGUACGGCCGCAAGGUUAAAACUCAAAUGAAUUGACGGGGGCCCGCACAAGCGGUGGAGCAUGUGGUUUAAUUCGAUGCAACGCGAAGAACCUUACCUGGUCUUGACAUCCACAGAACU
RNAcentral lists this ribosomal RNA (1007 nucleotides) under Salmonella enterica. RNAcentral describes it as "bacterial SSU rRNA". It matches the Rfam family "Bacterial small subunit ribosomal RNA", at positions 1 to 997 of the family's 1533-position model. Lineage: Bacteria; Pseudomonadati; Pseudomonadota; Gammaproteobacteria; Enterobacterales; Enterobacteriaceae. The record is from RNAcentral.